UACGAAGGGGGCUAGCGUUGUUCGGAUUUACUGGGCGUAAAGCGCACGUAGGCGGAUCGUUAAGUCGGGGGUGAAAUCCUGGAGCUCAACUCCAGAACUGCCUUCGAUACUGGCGAUCUUGAGUCCGGAAGAGGUGAGUGGAACUCCUAGUGUAGAGGUGGAAUUCGUAGAUAUUAGGAAGAACACCAGUGGCGGAGGCGGCUCACUGGUCCGGUACUGACGCUGAGGUGCGAAAGCGUGGGGAGCAAACAGG
Molecule: ribosomal RNA, 253 nt
Filed under: uncultured bacterium
Lineage: Bacteria
Description: partial 16S ribosomal RNA
Rfam family: Bacterial small subunit ribosomal RNA
Source: RNAcentral